Molecule: unclassified non-coding RNA, 200 nt
Filed under: soil metagenome
Description: partial contains internal transcribed spacer 2 and large subunit ribosomal RNA
Source: RNAcentral
GGGGGUUGUGGGCUUCAUUAAUGAGGUCAGCUCUCCUUAAAUGCAUUAGCGGAACUUUUGUGGACCGUCUAUUGGUGUGAUAAUUAUCUACGCCGUGGAUGUGAAGCAGCUUUAUGAAGUUCAGCUUCUAAUCGUCCAUUGACUUGGACAAUUUUUGACAAUUUGACCUCAAAUCAGGUAGGACUACCCGCUGAACUUAA